RNAcentral lists this transfer RNA (73 nucleotides) under Candidatus Zixiibacteriota bacterium. RNAcentral's name for it is "tRNA-Glu". It matches the Rfam family "tRNA". Rfam says of the family: Transfer RNA (tRNA) molecules are approximately 80 nucleotides in length. Their secondary structure includes four short double-helical elements and three loops (D, anti-codon, and T loops). Further hydrogen bonds mediate the characteristic L-shaped molecular structure. tRNAs have two regions of fundamental functional importance: the anti-codon, which is responsible for specific mRNA codon recognition, and the 3' end, to which the tRNAs corresponding amino acid is attached (by aminoacyl-tRNA synthetases). tRNAs cope with the degeneracy of the genetic code in two manners: having more than one tRNA (with a specific anti-codon) for a particular amino acid; and 'wobble' base-pairing, i.e. permitting non-standard base-pairing at the 3rd anti-codon position. The record is from RNAcentral. Lineage: Bacteria; Pseudomonadati; Candidatus Zixiibacteriota.
GGCGGUAUCGUCUAGUGGUCUAGGACGAAGGAUUCUCAGUCCUUAAACCGGGGUUCGAUUCCCCGUACCGCUA